RNAcentral lists this long non-coding RNA (652 nucleotides) under Papio anubis (olive baboon). RNAcentral's name for it is "lncRNA (ENSPANG00000048465.1)". The record is from RNAcentral. Lineage: Eukaryota; Metazoa; Chordata; Mammalia; Primates; Cercopithecidae.
AACACUUCUGCGUGUACAUAGUAAACCCCCAUCCACAUUCAACCCGGCUGAGUUUCCUGGGGCCUGAACCGGGAUGUCUGCCGCUGUAUUCAGCUUCUUACUAGAAGAAAAUACUAAUGUCAGAUGCCAGGAAGUCAGAAGGGGAGCCCAGAAGUCUGGCUUAAUCCAUCUUUCGGAGGCUUCCGAACACAUCACUUCAUGGAUUAUGCAAAGAGUACCUUUUCAAAGCAUACAGUUUUUCAGAAAUUUUGGUUCUUAAUGGAAGAAGAAUCAGUCAUUGAGAUUAUUCUUGGUAGGUUCUCUAGAUUUCAGUUGUCUUGAUUUAGAAUAUCCCAAGCACAGACGCCUCCAGUUUUGUAGAGUCCUACCCUUUUUGUUGUAGUCUGUAAAGUUGGUCUAAGAUUUCCAAGAAGGUUAAAUAUUUUUCUAUCAUGAUUGCAGUGGUAGGAUGCCAUAUCACCAAUGUAGACCUCCUGCACUCAGGCUCAGGUGAGUAAGCAAAACAUAUCAUGGGCCUGGAGGAUUCCAUUGUCACAAUGUUUGUCACCCCCUUCCAGAAUGCAAAACUGGUUAUUGCACGUAUGUGGUUACCUAUAAUACCUCCCCUACAAUUUUAUUUGACCUGCGCAGCUUAACAUCUCAAAAGAGAAAC